This 85-nucleotide transfer RNA is filed under the name Clostridia bacterium. Its description in RNAcentral is "tRNA-Leu". It matches the Rfam family "tRNA". Rfam says of the family: Transfer RNA (tRNA) molecules are approximately 80 nucleotides in length. Their secondary structure includes four short double-helical elements and three loops (D, anti-codon, and T loops). The record is from RNAcentral. Lineage: Bacteria; Bacillati; Bacillota; Clostridia.
GCGAGAGUGGCGGAACUGGCAGACGCGCACGUUUGAGGGGCGUGUGGAUUUCACCGUACGGGUUCAAGUCCCGUUUCUCGCACCA